Long non-coding RNA from Crotalus tigris (Tiger rattlesnake), 484 nucleotides. RefSeq lists it as uncharacterized. The record is from RefSeq and is a predicted model, not a curated record. The transcript has 2 exons. NCBI's taxonomy places the organism in Eukaryota, Metazoa, Chordata, Lepidosauria, Squamata, Viperidae.
CUCAGCCUGCCAGCAGCCUGCCAGGCAUCUUGGAAACCGACCCAGAGAAGAGGAGAGCAGCGGCGGGGGUGGAAGGCGGCAGCUUCCCCUGCCCAGACCCAGCGGAGAGGGAAGCGGGCCCAGGCGGAAGGGGGGUCGGGUGGAAGGGCAACGCGGCAUCCAGGACCGGCCUGGCCGCCCACCGAAAAGGACUGACUCCGCUCGCCCGGCGUUUCCCGAGCUGCGCCCGAGGCUCCUUGGCUUCGGGUGGCGCGUUUGGUUGGAGAAGGAUGCCUCGCGCUCCGUCGCCCGGGCUGCCGCGCCUCGAAGAUCCAGAAGCGUUCCGUGCUCUGCCACCGCCCGUUCAGCCUGAUGCCCAGCCCCAUCGGAAAGAGAAAGAAAAGAAAGAAAGAAAGAAGAAAGGAAAGAAAGAAAGAAAGAAAGAAAAAGAAAGAAAGAAAGAAAGAAAGAAAGAAAGAAAGAAAGAAAGAAAGAAAGAAAGAAA